CACCAUACGUACACAAAUCCAAGAAACAAAAAAGGAAAAGCAUCAUAUAUUAUACGUAUGUACACCGAACCCAUAUGUGGUAGUACUCGUAAUUGUAGGAAAAACGGCUGGUCACUAUGGCGUCCUCCCCCCUCGUUCGUCGUAUCUAGGCAGCAAAUGCGCCGCACUUGCAACCACGCCCUCUGCUCUCUGGUUUCUUUUUCUCGCUUCUUGCACUUGCUUCUCCAGUUCUCUACAAUACCUGUUAGCUUCGUGCUUGACGAAAGGUAUAUGGAAGGUACACACCUGACCUGUGCUUCCAGCUGCACAGCUCUUUCCUUUCCACCUUGCUUUUCCGUCUUAAUCUUCUCCCCUGCGAUCCGCAACCUAUUCUCGUACUCUUUGACACGCGCUUCCCAUUUGUUCUCAGCCUGACUGUACCUCGUCUGGUACUCUGCCAGUCUUUUUUCCAAACUCGCCAACUGGUUCGAUGCCGUUUGAGCUCGCUUUUCGGCCGCGACGGCCCGUUCCGUAAGGGAUCGAAUUUGGGAGGAUGAUCCAGAGAUAGUAUCAGAUUUGAGAGACGAGAUCUGAGAAUGAAGUUCGUUAUUACGAACUUGAACAGCCUGAAGCUCCCCUUCUUUGAUGGCAAACUUGCUUCUCCAUUCUCGCUUGGUUAAUUCAAGCUUCUUCACGGCUGCUUCAAAUUGGUCCAAUGAUACAGAAACAAAAGAACCCACGCCAUGCGCUUAUCCACGGAUGCCUCAGUAUCCUUUAGCUUCUUCUCAAACUCUGCUCUGACGCUCAUCAUCGCUUUUAACCUCUGCAGAAGAGUAUCCCUAAACAGAGCAAAGUUUGCUGGUGUCGUGUGGUGCUAAUCACUGAAUUUAUUAACAUCUUUGAACACCCGAAGAAGCAGUUCACUUCUCUCCUGUCUCUGAGUUUCGGAUUGUUUUUGCAUCUGGAAUCGCUCUUGCUGUGUCUCGGUGAGAAGCGGUUCAAGCUCUUCGAUGCGUUCCUUUAAUAGAUUGGCUUCACGUUCAUGUUGCUUGGCCGUCUAUAUAUACAUUUAAUUAGCCUUCCCCCAUCUAUGUCACGGCAAACGCACUUUCAGGGUAUGAUCAAGCUUGUCAGAAAUGUUGAGUCGUCCUUGCCUUUCGGACGACAAUCUAUUCUCAAUGUCACGUUGUUUGUCAAGCUAUCAACUGGUCAGCUCGGUCGUUGAUGUCAAAUUGUCGACAUACCAUGGUAGCAAGCUCGAUAUCUCGAUCUCUGAGAUUUUCAUUUCUCUUCUCCAAUUCUCGUUUGGCGAUAUCCAAUUCAUCCUCACACCUCUGCAAGUCUCUCUUGACCCUGUCGAUUUCAAGCUCCAAUCCAAACCUAUUGCUCGUGUGCUCGUCGCCAAGCUUACGGCGCUCGUCCUCAAGGUCGUGCAGCUUUCGCUCAACUUGAGAGAGGUCGCGGUCACGAAGAUUUAUUCUUUCAUGAGCAGCAUCAAGCUCAAAUUGAAGACGUGAGGCUUGGGUUUCCUUUUCAGAGAGGGCUUGACGAAGACGUGAAUUUUCUGUAUUCAGUUCACGCUUAAUACUCUCCCUAUCAGAUCUCCGCUCUUCUCUCUCUUGACCAAGACGAGUAAGUGCGUCUUCUUUCUCUUCUUGUAUUUUUCGUCGAGCCUCUUUGAGAACAUUGAUCAAAUCCUCGUAAUGCGCCUUGGCGUUUUCAAACUCCUCAUCUGCGCUACGUAAAUCAGCGUUAAGAUUGGCUUCCCUAGCUCGAUGAUCCUCUAGCGCUUCCUCCAGCUCAUACACUCUCUGCCCCAGCUCUUCAAUCUCACGAUUUGCAUCCAUCAACUCAGCGUGCUUUUCGAUAUUAUCACGUUCAAUAUUUUUGAGCGUUUCUUCCAGCCGGUCGUGAGUGAUGGCCUUGGCAGCUUGGAGUUCUUGUAUUUCUUCAAGUGCGCCUGUGAGGUGUUCUUCUCUCUCAAGGAGGGAAACUCUAAUCUCCUUUAUUUCUUGCUCCCGAGCGUCCAACGCCUGCUCUUGUUAACAUGGCUUAAACUGUUCUUUUCUUCUGUAACUUACAUCUUUCAGCUCGUCAACUUGUGUUCUUGCCUCCAGUACUUCAUCUCUCCAUUCUUCCGCAACCUGUUGCAAUUCUUUUUCGUGCUCUCGGACUUUUGCGUCCAGUUCCGCAUUGAGUUCGUCAACUUCACGAUCACGAUUGUCGAGCUCGAGUUGUGCAGCGGCCACUUUAUCUUGGAGUUCAUUGAGACGCUAUAAGAGGUUAUUCACAGCCUUUUGAAUGUUAA
RNAcentral lists this small RNA (2287 nucleotides) under Cryptococcus neoformans H99. RNAcentral's name for it is "Cryptococcus neoformans var. grubii H99 hypothetical RNA". Lineage: Eukaryota; Fungi; Basidiomycota; Tremellomycetes; Tremellales; Cryptococcaceae. The record is from RNAcentral.